ACUAAGCGUACACGGUGGAUGCCCUGGCAGUCAGAGGCGAUGAAGGACGUGCUAAUCUGCGAUAAGCGUCGGUAAGGUGAUAUGAACCGUUAUAACCGGCGAUUUCCGAAUGGGGAAACCCAGUGUGUUUCGACACACUAUCAUUAACUGAAUCCAUAGGUUAAUGAGGCGAACCGGGGGAACUGAAACAUCUAAGUACCCCGAGGAAAAGAAAUCAACCGAGAUUCCCCCAGUAGCGGCGAGCGAACGGGGAGCAGCCCAGAGCCUGAAUCAGUGUGUGUGUUAGUGGAAGCGUCUGGAAAGGCGCGCGAUACAGGGUGACAGCCCCGUACACAAAAAUGCACAUGCUGUGAGCUCGAUGAGUAGGGCGGGACACGUGGUAUCCUGUCUGAAUAUGGGGGGACCAUCCUCCAAGGCUAAAUACUCCUGACUGACCGAUAGUGAACCAGUACCGUGAGGGAAAGGCGAAAAGAACCCCGGCGAGGGGAGUGAAAAAGAACCUGAAACCGUGUACGUACAAGCAGUGGGAGCCUCUUUAUGGGGUGACUGCGUACCUUUUGUAUAAUGGGUCAGCGACUUAUAUUCUGUAGCAAGGUUAACCGAAUAGGGGAGCCGAAGGGAAACCGAGUCUUAACUGGGCGUUAAGUUGCAGGGUAUAGACCCGAAACCCGGUGAUCUAGCCAUGGGCAGGUUGAAGGUUGGGUAACACUAACUGGAGGACCGAACCGACUAAUGUUGAAAAAUUAGCGGAUGACUUGUGGCUGGGGGUGAAAGGCCAAUCAAACCGGGAGAUAGCUGGUUCUCCCCGAAAGCUAUUUAGGUAGCGCCUCGUGAACUCAUCUCCGGGGGUAGAGCACUGUUUCGGCAAGGGGGUCAUCCCGACUUACCAACCCGAUGCAAACUGCGAAUACCGGAGAAUGUUAUCACGGGAGACACACGGCGGGUGCUAACGUCCGUCGUGAAGAGGGAAACAACCCAGACCGCCAGCUAAGGUCCCAAAGUCAUGGUUAAGUGGGAAACGAUGUGGGAAGGCCCAGACAGCCAGGAUGUUGGCUUAGAAGCAGCCAUCAUUUAAAGAAAGCGUAAUAGCUCACUGGUCGAGUCGGCCUGCGCGGAAGAUGUAACGGGGCUAAACCAUGCACCGAAGCUGCGGCAGCGACACUAUGUGUUGUUGGGUAGGGGAGCGUUCUGUAAGCCUGUGAAGGUGUACUGUGAGGUAUGCUGGAGGUAUCAGAAGUGCGAAUGCUGACAUAAGUAACGAUAAAGCGGGUGAAAAGCCCGCUCGCCGGAAGACCAAGGGUUCCUGUCCAACGUUAAUCGGGGCAGGGUGAGUCGACCCCUAAGGCGAGGCCGAAAGGCGUAGUCGAUGGGAAACAGGUUAAUAUUCCUGUACUUGGUGUUACUGCGAAGGGGGGACGGAGAAGGCUAUGUUGGCCGGGCGACGGUUGUCCCGGUUUAAGCGUGUAGGCUGGUUUUCCAGGCAAAUCCGGAAAAUCAAGGCUGAGGCGUGAUGACGAGGCACUACGGUGCUGAAGCAACAAAUGCCCUGCUUCCAGGAAAAGCCUCUAAGCAUCAGGUAACAUCAAAUCGUACCCCAAACCGACACAGGUGGUCAGGUAGAGAAUACCAAGGCGCUUGAGAGAACUCGGGUGAAGGAACUAGGCAAAAUGGUGCCGUAACUUCGGGAGAAGGCACGCUGAUAUGUAGGUGAAGUCCCUCGCGGAUGGAGCUGAAAUCAGUCGAAGAUACCAGCUGGCUGCAACUGUUUAUUAAAAACACAGCACUGUGCAAACACGAAAGUGGACGUAUACGGUGUGACGCCUGCCCGGUGCCGGAAGGUUAAUUGAUGGGGUCAGCGCAAGCGAAGCUCUUGAUCGAAGCCCCGGUAAACGGCGGCCGUAACUAUAACGGUCCUAAGGUAGCGAAAUUCCUUGUCGGGUAAGUUCCGACCUGCACGAAUGGCGUAAUGAUGGCCAGGCUGUCUCCACCCGAGACUCAGUGAAAUUGAACUCGCUGUGAAGAUGCAGUGUACCCGCGGCAAGACGGAAAGACCCCGUGAACCUUUACUAUAGCUUGACACUGAACAUUGAGCCUUGAUGUGUAGGAUAGGUGGGAGGCUUGGAAGUGUGGACGCCAGUCUGCAUGGAGCCGACCUUGAAAUACCACCCUUUAAUGUUUGAUGUUCUAACGUUGACCCGUAAUCCGGGUUGCGGACAGUGUCUGGUGGGUAGUUUGACUGGGGCGGUCUCCUCCUAAAGAGUAACGGAGGAGCACGAAGGUUGGCUAAUCCUGGUCGGACAUCAGGAGGUUAGUGCAAUGGCAUAAGCCAGCUUGACUGCGAGCGUGACGGCGCGAGCAGGUGCGAAAGCAGGUCAUAGUGAUCCGGUGGUUCUGAAUGGAAGGGCCAUCGCUCAACGGAUAAAAGGUACUCCGGGGAUAACAGGCUGAUACCGCCCAAGAGUUCAUAUCGACGGCGGUGUUUGGCACCUCGAUGUCGGCUCAUCACAUCCUGGGGCUGAAGUAGGUCCCAAGGGUAUGGCUGUUCGCCAUUUAAAGUGGUACGCGAGCUGGGUUUAGAACGUCGUGAGACAGUUCGGUCCCUAUCUGCCGUGGGCGCUGGAGAACUGAGGGGGGCUGCUCCUAGUACGAGAGGACCGGAGUGGACGCAUCACUGGUGUUCGGGUUGUCAUGCCAAUGGCACUGCCCGGUAGCUAAAUGCGGAAGAGAUAAGUGCUGAAAGCAUCUAAGCACGAAACUUGCCCCGAGAUGAGUUCUCCCUGACUCCUUGAGAGUCCUGAAGGAACGUUGAAGACGACGACGUUGAUAGGCCGGGUGUGUAAGCGCAGCGAUGCGUUGAGCUAACCGGUACUAAUGAACCGUGAGGCUUAACC
RNAcentral lists this ribosomal RNA (2891 nucleotides) under Escherichia coli. Its description in RNAcentral is "bacterial LSU rRNA". It matches the Rfam family "Bacterial large subunit ribosomal RNA". The record is from RNAcentral. Lineage: Bacteria; Pseudomonadati; Pseudomonadota; Gammaproteobacteria; Enterobacterales; Enterobacteriaceae.